RNAcentral lists this small RNA (28 nucleotides) under Bombyx mori (domestic silkworm). RNAcentral's name for it is "ovarian small RNA-31164". The record is from RNAcentral. Lineage: Eukaryota; Metazoa; Arthropoda; Insecta; Lepidoptera; Bombycidae.
UGAAUGCAUCAUACGGAGUCGCGAAAGA